AUUGAACGCUGGCGGCAGGCCUAACACAUGCAAGUCGAACGGUAACACGAUACAGGUUGCUGUUUCGCUGACGAGUGGCGGAGGGGUGUGUAAUGUCUGGGGGACUGCCUUUUGGAGGGGGAUAUCUACUGGAAACGGUUGCUUUUACCGCAUAACGUAGCUAUACCAGAGAGGUGGGCCCUUUGGCCUCUUGCCAUCUCAUGUGCUCAGGUGGGAUUAGCUUGUUGGUGGGGUAACGGCUCACCAAGGCGACGGUCCCUAGCUGGGAUGAGAGGAUGACCAGCCACACUGGAACUGAGACACGGUCCAGACUCCUACGGGAGGCAGCAGUGGGGAAUAUUGAACAAUGGGCGCAAGCCAGAUGAAGCCAUACCGCGUGUAUGAAGAAGGCCUUCGGGUUGUAAAGUACUUUUAUUGGGGAGGAAAAGAGUAAAGUUAAUACCUGUAAUCAUUGACGUUACCAACAGAAGAAGCACCGGCUAACUCAGUG
RNAcentral lists this ribosomal RNA (490 nucleotides) under uncultured bacterium. Its description in RNAcentral is "partial 16S ribosomal RNA". It matches the Rfam family "Bacterial small subunit ribosomal RNA", at positions 30 to 507 of the family's 1533-position model. The record is from RNAcentral.